AAAGAGAGACUGCCCCCCAAAUCCCUGAGACCCUAACUUGUGAUGUGCUUUUAUCAAAUCACACAGGUUGGUAUCUCAGGAAUUUGGUGGGCGUGUCAUGC
Strongylocentrotus purpuratus (purple sea urchin) is the source of this 101-nucleotide non-coding RNA. RefSeq annotates it as microRNA mir-125. NCBI's taxonomy places the organism in Eukaryota, Metazoa, Echinodermata, Echinoidea, Camarodonta, Strongylocentrotidae. The record is from RefSeq and is marked provisional. The transcript has a single exon.